GAUCCUGCGUCUAGGAUGAACGCUAGCUACAGGCUUAACACAUGCAAGUCGAGGGGCAGCGGGAUUGAAGCUUGCUUCAAUUGCCGGCGACCGGCGCACGGGUGAGUAACGCGUAUCCAACCUUCCGCUUACUCGGGGAUAGCCUUUCGAAAGAAAGAUUAAUACCCGAUGGUAUCUUAAGCACGCAUGAGAUUAAGAUUAAAGAUUUAUCGGUAAGCGAUGGGGAUGCGUUCCAUUAGGCAG
This 243-nucleotide ribosomal RNA is filed under the name uncultured bacterium. RNAcentral describes it as "partial 16S ribosomal RNA". It matches the Rfam family "Bacterial small subunit ribosomal RNA", at positions 15 to 248 of the family's 1533-position model. The record is from RNAcentral.